Molecule: ribosomal RNA, 253 nt
Filed under: uncultured bacterium
Lineage: Bacteria
Description: partial 16S ribosomal RNA
Rfam family: Bacterial small subunit ribosomal RNA
Source: RNAcentral
GACGUAGGGCGCGAGCGUUGUCCGGAAUUAUUGGGCGUAAAGAGCUCGUAGGCGGUCUGUUGCGUCCGCUGUGAAAACUCGGGGCUUAACUCCGAGCCUGCAGUGGGUACGGGCAGACUAGAGUGCGGUAGGGGAGACUGGAAUUCCUGGUGUAGCGGUGAAAUGCGUAGAUAUCAGGAGGAACACCGGUGGCGAAGGCGCCUAUCUGGCCCGAUACUGACGCUGAGGCGCGAAAGCUAGGGGAGCAAACGGG